This is a long non-coding RNA of Trematomus bernacchii (emerald rockcod), 813 nucleotides long. RefSeq lists it as uncharacterized. The record is from RefSeq and is a predicted model, not a curated record. The transcript has 3 exons. NCBI's taxonomy places the organism in Eukaryota, Metazoa, Chordata, Actinopteri, Perciformes, Nototheniidae.
CAGCAUCAAUGAUAGAGUCCAGCUUGUAUAGGGAGCUUCCUCUAUUGCACUGUUUGGCUUUUUCCAGCAAGGCAAAAUCCUCUUUGAAAUGCUGUCUCUGCUCGUGGCAAAUAAUGGCCUUUUCAGCAUUUUCCGUGUCCUCUACUGAAAGUCUUAGUGCAUUAGCUGUAGGCCUUUUGAGCAGAAGCAUCUGAUCCUUCAGUCGCUUUCCUUUAUCCUGCUUUACUCCAAGAUCAGUGGAGCAAUCUUUCCUCUUUUCUCUCCUCUGCAGGAGCUUUCGGUCAUCAGCUGACAUUUGUCUUUCCUCUUCAUACUCGUUUUCUGGAAAGUCAUUCAUAUAUUGUCUUUCAUUAAGCUUCUCAAGGUGAACAAUUGAGGUCCUGUUCACUACUGCCACAGGGGUUUCAUCAUCCGGAUCUGUGGAAGCAUUAGGUGGACCAUUAACGACCCAUCCUAACAGUGUUUUCACUGCAUAUGGGCCGUUUCCUUGGAUAAGGCCAUUUCUUGAGGUCCGCCUGGAAGGACUUCAGUUCUCCGUCCUCUAGCACCAAGCUGCCUCAUGAGCCCCUCUGUGCAAAAUGUGUCGGUACUACCAGGGUCCAGGAAUGCAUAGGUCAGUAUACUUUUAUUUCCAUGGCAGAGUUUCACCUUCACUGGCACUAUGGCAAGUAUGCUGUCUUUACCAGCCCCAAUUCCUUCACCUUCUCCUACUGAAACAAGAGCACUGCUGAUGGAUGUCUCUUCAGGCCUUGCUCCUCCACUCUUCUGCUCUGUCUUAUCAUGUUUAAAGUUCUCAGUUUCAGGCUUAGAAGA